UUUUAAAUUCUAAUUUAAUAGAAGUCAAGUUAUGGUCUGAGAGAUAACUUAAAAAUGGUAAGUUAUUUAGGAACAAGAUAAAAGGCAAAACACCAAACUUCAUACAAACUUAAAUGUUUGACAUUUAAAAAUUAAAGAGAUUUUUUUUAACGUGUAUUUGAGACAAAUAAGCCAACCUUGGUACAUAACCGCUGAAAACUAAAAAACCGUACCCUAAACCAACACAGGUGGAUAGGUCGAGUAGACUAAGGUGUAUGAGAUAAUUAUGUUGAAGGAACUCGGCAAAAUGACUCUGUAACUUCGGGAGAAAGAGUACCUUUUUAUUUAAGUGUUUAUCGACGAAAUAAUAAGAAG
This 354-nucleotide ribosomal RNA is filed under the name Aphanomyces astaci. RNAcentral describes it as "partial large subunit ribosomal RNA". Lineage: Eukaryota; Oomycota; Saprolegniomycetes; Saprolegniales; Verrucalvaceae. The record is from RNAcentral.